Molecule: long non-coding RNA, 1643 nt
Organism: Esox lucius (northern pike)
Lineage: Eukaryota; Metazoa; Chordata; Actinopteri; Esociformes; Esocidae
Source: Ensembl
UUCGGAUUUCAAAGUAGGAGGUCAAAACGAAGACAUGUCACACAAACCUCAGACUGGAAUAGGUGUCGCGUUCCAGGCAGAGGUAGAGUUCCUCUCAAGUUUUCCUACAAGACAGGCGGUGGAGCUUCCAUAUAGGCCCACAGAAUUACGUCUUUGAAUAGCUCGAUUUCUUAGAAUGUAAACAAGAAAAGUUCAAGCUUGUUCACUCCUAGCUUUUUCAAAAUAAACAAAACGUGAAGAUUAGCAUAAUAGUAUUGUAAUCAAAGAAUUUAAAUAAAAAAAGGGGAACUAAAGUGGCAGCGAGAUUAAGAAUCUCUGAGCUGAUGUGUUUAAAGUAUGCUACUCACGAUUGUAUUUAUUCCUGGUAUGGUACCCGCUUGCUACGGACCCGAUAGGAGGGCAUAGACUUGGAAGGGGUUGUCUGCCGGCAGCUCCGUACCAUGUCUCUUUCGACCUGGUCUUGGGAGUAAGGAGGGUGUCCGACCGUUGUCAAGGCAACGCUGUCCUAGAGCUGCGGCUGCUCUUUCACGCCCUCACCAAAGCCGCGUGCCACCUGUACCUGGCGGUUCUCCCGCUACGCCGCGCCGCCCUGCAGCUUGCCCGAUUCGUCUGUCACCUUGCCAACCACGGACCCGCCUCCGCCGGCCGGGCGUCUCCACUACUCCUGGAGGGCGUGUGUGUUGUUUGUGAAGCCACGCCGGACCUGUUGGGCGCAGGGCUCAGUCUAUGUGCCGUGCUGUGUCACAUCCUGCAGGGGGCGCUGUUCCUGUUGGCGGCCACCCUGCGGUCGGUCCAGGAUAGCGUUCUGGCCCAGGUGGACGGGGAGAGGGAGAGGUGGGAGAAAGAGCGACAACGCGCCAGACAACUGGAGAAGAGACAAAACGCCAGGGUGGUGGAAUACCUCUCUGUCUGUGAAGACCCUGCAAGUUCCCUACGACUCAAGGUGGACAUGAUCGAUAGAUAACAAUGAUCGACAGGUGAAUCGAUUGUUUAUUGGGAUGGUGGUGAAUUACACAAACGUUGUUUUCUGGCACAUUAUGCCUUUAUACACCUAUAUCGCCACUGCCUUUUGUAAUGGUAACUGAUUUGGAAUAUAAGGGUUCGGGGAGCCAGUUCAGGUUCCCUCCAACUGAUUCACACUGCAAAAAGGGACGAGGCUGGGAGGGGGAACAUUUUUUACAAACCUCCCAUUUUAGGCUGGAUGUGUAAUGUUGUUUAAAUUUACAUAAUCUAUAAACAGAAUUACAAUUUUCGGGAGCACUUUUACCAGUGGUCAAAAAUCCCAGAAUGCGUUUUGGUCUGUUUCUGUCAUGGUUGGUUAUUGUUAGAUGUCUGACACGGUCUUAACGGUUGUAUCUGUUACUGUGAGUUUAUAUCGAAUCUGUCUGUUACAUUUAGUUGGUUGUUGUCAGUCCCUAUUACGGUCUUAUAGUCAAUUAAUGCCAAAGAGGCAAUCUGCAGUUGUAAAACCAUAUCACUGAUCACCAGUCCUCAAUCCACAACUCUUUCUAAAUGUUUAGUUUUUCAGGUCUUAGACUUGUUUUACAGAAAGGGUUAGAAUUAACUUCGUUAUUGUUUCAACUGCAGAUUGACCCUUUAUUGUUAAUUACUGUCAGAUAGUCUAUGUUUCUGCUCAACAUGGC